Molecule: ribosomal RNA, 507 nt
Filed under: uncultured bacterium
Lineage: Bacteria
Description: bacterial SSU rRNA
Rfam family: Bacterial small subunit ribosomal RNA
Source: RNAcentral
GAGUUUGAUCCUGGCUCAGAUUGAACGCUGGCGGAAUGCUUUACACAUGCAAGUCGAACGGCAGCACGGGAGCCUGCUCCUGGUGGCGAGUGGCGAACGGGUGAGUAAUAUAUCGGAACGUACCCCGUCGUGGGGGAUAACUCUCCGAAAGGAGUGCUAAUACCGCAUACGACCUGAGGGUGAAAGCGGGGGACCUGCAAGGGCCUCGCGCGAUGGGAGCGGCCGAUAUCGGAUUAGCUAGUUGGUGAGGUAAAGGCUCACCAAGGCGACGAUCCGUAGCGGGUCUGAGAGGACGACCCGCCACACUGGAACUGAGACACGGUCCAGACUCCUACGGGAGGCAGCAGUGGGGAAUUUUGGACAAUGGGGGAAACCCUGAUCCAGCCAUUCCGCGUGAGUGAAGAAGGCCUUCGGGUUGUAAAGCUCUUUCAGCAGGAACGAAACGGUAGGCUUUAAUACAGUCUGCUAAUGACGGUACCUGCAGAAGAAGCACCGGCUAACUACGUG